Long non-coding RNA from Frankliniella occidentalis (western flower thrips), 2928 nucleotides. RefSeq lists it as uncharacterized. The record is from RefSeq and is a predicted model, not a curated record. NCBI's taxonomy places the organism in Eukaryota, Metazoa, Arthropoda, Insecta, Thysanoptera, Thripidae. The transcript is spliced from 8 exons.
GGUGUGGGAGCCAGCCGGCAGCCGGCCCUAGAAGAGUUCAAGAUCAAGGCUUCGCGAUCCGUCCGUCCUGCGAGUGUGGGUCGCGCCGCGCUUAGCUUGCUCCAUCGCAUCGCAUCACAUCGCAUCACAUCACAUCAGCUCGCCGUCAAGUCCGCCCCCGCGGCCCCCGCGAUUCCCUUGCGCCCGUUGUUUUGAUUCCGACUGUAUGUUGCCUUAGGUCACUUUUUCACCUCAGAUUUGCUGGUCUACCUCUGGCGCUGGGGUGAACAAGGGAUGUCGAAAGGGCAUUUCAACAACCGGUGUUGAACGGAAGUGAAAGUGAUCGCGAAGUCUUGCGGCCUCGUGUGUCUGCUUGACUGUUCUGUUGUUGACCCGCAAUAUGCCACCUCUCGCCGUUCGCCACACGGCUGCCCGCCCCGCCGUGGCCCAUGCGCUCCUCGGGUUUCCGACUUUCGCUGAUGUUCUUUGGCUCACCUUUUCACCUCAGGUUUGCUGGUUAAUCUCCGGUUCUGGGACGAACAAGUGAGGUAAAUAAGGCGUUUCAAUCUGUUUUGAUCGGGAGUAAGGCGAUCGCCUAGUCGUGCAGCCCCGUGUGGCUGACUUGUCGCUGUGCGCCCCGCGCCCCGCCUCCGCGGCAGGUCUUAUUUUGACCCUUUUGACUGGAGGUAGAAGUCGUUUGUGUGCCUGGUGCUGCCCCGGCUCGCCUGGCGCGGAUGCGAUAUAUGGUGAGCGAUAUAACCGGGCUGCCUGACCGUCGUCUGCGCCAGGGAGGGUGGUUGCGCACGGUUGUUUUGUUUUGUUCUCUCCGUCCUUGUCGCACUCGCUGCCACCGGGAGGGAGAGGGCACGCGUAAACAACGUGCGGGAUCGCCCUGCAGGUCUGUGGGCCUCGCUCGGCAUCCAAACGUCUUCUACUCCGAGCCUGUUUGGUCGGCACCGAUGUGUCCCUAGCUAGCGCCCACGCGCCCGCGUAGAGCUCGCGCAGGGAAUGACCUCUGUGCCCCGCGCAGUCUGACACUGCUACGCCCAAAGCAUUCUUUCGCGAAACUCGUGGUCCGCGCCCGGCCCCUUCGGUUUGCGUGUCCCCUCGUGUGCAUCGCCAGCAAGAGGAGCCCACGACGUGUCCUCCGGCCGCCGACUCCCACCCCAUCCACCUGGGCGAGCGCUGAGGCGGCGGCGUUCGCAGCUGCCGCUGCCAAAGGUAGGCCUCGUCGUUCGCCGGAGUUUGUGUACAAACGCUUCUUGUUUGGUCGCUCCACUUGUGCAGAGCUCCACCUCGCAGCCCAGUACGGCAGUCUUUAUAUAAUGUUUCAGGUCUACUUAGCGAUUUGAACUUUACUAGGGGGCUACAACUUACAAAGGGUACUCAUCUCCAACACACAACAAAGCUCAUUAAUGACUGCAUUGCUGCAUUGGCAUGGUGGAACAAUGCUCUCAAGUCCUUUCGCGCCGUUUUGCUGCAGUCCGCGUUCAUUUUCCGCGCUCAUCGAUGUUAAACAACUGAUCAUUUUCGCUCACGUCGGGAUCGGAAGUUAAAUUGGAUUUUAUCAACCGCGAUAUCAUUUAAUUUAAAGAUUUACUCAACCGCGAAAUCAAUUAAUGUUUUAUCAACCGCGAUUUAUUAUAUCCUAUUCUAAAUUGCAUAACUUAACGAAGACUUUGGAGAACAUUCUUCCCUCAAGGUCAGUCGUGUGUCCCAUUGGAAUGUCGUUCUGCUUUGUUUUGAGCCCAAUUUCCUAUAAUUGUCCUAUCGCUAGCCUAGCCCCCGCUGCUGUUUGCCUUCGUCUCGACUCGGACGCUGCGAGCGAGCUGUCUGCUCGAGCCCGCCGCCUUGUGCGUCUCGCACGCAGUCGCGGGGAAGGACUACGGACUGCGUGACGCUGCCGCCGCCGCCCUUGCCGCAGUUUGACUUUAUGGGACUACCGAUCUACUGUUCCAGCCGACAUCUCAAUUUUGCUGUGACGAGCCUCUUCCUGGACUCUGCUGCGUCGCUUAUGGCUGUGGUCAGCAGACUGCACAGCUGCCCCGCCUGCUCUGCUCUGCACUCCACCCUGGGAGAGCCAAGCAGUGCGUCACCACCAGGUCACCGCGGCCUCGCCGCGCCGCGGAGGGCCGCUCCCGUGUCUUCAUGGUCGUCUACAAUUUCGUCCCUGUUGCAGAGUAACCGUGAGGCACGCUCGCUCGUCGGCUGCAGCCCACCGGGACGUCCGCGGAUCAUCCUCUCGCCAACGUUUCAGCUCCAGUAGAACGUUAUUCAAUUAUGUGGAGAUGUUCAGAUAUGCUCGUUUCUCCACUUGCUUCUCCAGUCCCACUCCAGUCAGCAGGAAUUCACUGCGGUCGGCGAGGACAUCUCGAUUCCAGGACACAGUUGGUGUUGGACCCGACACCCCGACAUAGGUGUCUGCUAUCAACUCAGCUUCGCUGCCUACCGGAGUAUCCGGGAAAGGUUGUUUCUUGGCGACGAUGCCUCCGCUUCCACAACUCUAACAGAAUUUGGUACCUAAUUCUCUGAAAUAACCCGCCACUUCAUGGAUUCCUUUGACUGCAUAAGAGUGUCAGUUCCCCGUCAACAUACAUCAACCCACUUCGGUCAGCCAAGGUAUCUCGACUCCAGGACUCUCCAACCUGAUAUUGGACUCAGCUUCUGACUCUGCUUUGCUGUCUCAGAGUAAUGAGAAAAGGUUCUUUCUUGGUGACCAUGCUGCAGGCCAACAGCUCCCACAACUCAAAUAAUUUGGUGCAAAGUUAUCUGGAACCUGCCACACUUUGGAUGCAUUCGCUGCAAUAGUGUCAGUUCGAGGCAAGUUCUAGUUCGACCCCCCUGACAUCAGGAAUUCACUGUGGCCAGCAAAGACAUCUCAACCCUGUGCUUCCUGCUUCUAACUCUGCUUCGCUGUCUCCAAGAAUAACCAGAAAAGGUAAGCAACUG